CGUGACUGCUAUCGGAUUGAUACUAAGCCAUGCGAGUCAUUGUAGUAAUACAAGGCAGACGGCUCAGUAACGCGUAGUCAACCUAACCUAUGGACGGGAAUAACCUCGGGAAACUGAGUAUAAUGCCCGAUAGAACAUUAUGCCUGGAAUGGUGUAUGUUCCAAAUGAUUUAUCGCCGUAGGAUGGGACUGCGGCCUAUCAGUUUGUUGGUGAGGUAAUGGCCCACCAAGACUAUUACAGGUACGGGCUCUGAGAGGAGUGGCCCGGAGAUGGGUACUGAGACACGGACCCAGGCCCUAUGGGGCGCAGCAGGCGAGAAAACUUUGCAAUGUGCGAAAGCACGACAAGGUUAAUCCGAGUGGUUUCUGCUAAAGGAACCUUUUGUCGGUCCUAGAAACACCGAUGAAUAAGGGGUGGGCAAGUUCUGGUGUCAGCCGCCGCGGUAAAACCAGCACCUCAAGUGGUCAGGAUGAUUAUUGGGCCUAAAGCAUCCGUAGCCGGCUUUGUUAGUUUUCGGUUAAAUCUGUACGCUUAACGUACAGGCUGCCGGGAAUACUGCAGAGCUAGGGAGUGGGAGAGGUAGACGGUACUCGGUAGGAAGGGGUAAAAUCCUUUGAUCUAUUGAUGACCACCUGUGGCGAAGGCGGUCUACCAGAACACGUCCGACGGUGAGGGAUGAAAGCUGGGGGAGCAAACCGGAUUAGAUACCCGGGUAGUCCCAGCUGUAAACUAUGCAAACUCAGUGAUGCAUUGGCUUGUGGCCAAUGCAGUGCUGCAGGGAAGCCGUUAAGUUUGCCGCCUGGGAAGUACGUACGCAAGUAUGAAACUUAAAGGAAUUGGCGGGGGAGCACCACAAGGGGUGAAGCCUGCGGUUC
This 875-nucleotide ribosomal RNA is filed under the name uncultured marine group I thaumarchaeote. RNAcentral describes it as "bacterial SSU rRNA". It matches the Rfam family "Archaeal small subunit ribosomal RNA", at positions 21 to 903 of the family's 1478-position model. Lineage: Archaea; Thermoproteati; Nitrososphaerota. The record is from RNAcentral.